CACCUUCCACAGUCAACACAGUUCAAACAUUAACUCUGAUCAUCAUGGAGUACUAUGGACUUUAUCUUCUUGUUGCUUCACUUCUAAGAGGUGUCUGUUCUCAAGAUCUCACUCCACUGGCUGAUGAAACCUUCACCAUAGAGGGCAGCUCUGUUACUGUGUCUUACCGAUUCUCUAAAGAACCAAGGGGAAGUGAUGAGUUUUACUGGUAUCGACAGUAUCCAGGAAAACCUCCAGAGUUUCUGAUCUAUCAUGUAGGAUCAGGAAAUAAACAAAAUGACCAAAUCCUUGGACUGAAUAUUCAGGUGAAGGGAGCUGAUAUAAGCCUGCUGAUCCCCUCUGCUGCAGCGACAGACUCUGCUGUGUACUACUGUGCUGUGAGGCCCACAGUGACAGGAAACACCAGAACUCUGUACAAGAACCUGCAAUACUCCACUACAUCCACUAGAGGGCCUCACACACUGUUCUUCCUCUAUGGUUUGUUAUGA
This is a non-coding RNA of Cyprinodon variegatus (sheepshead minnow), 488 nucleotides long. The record is from the annotation of a RefSeq genome assembly. NCBI's taxonomy places the organism in Eukaryota, Metazoa, Chordata, Actinopteri, Cyprinodontiformes, Cyprinodontidae.